This 479-nucleotide ribosomal RNA is filed under the name uncultured bacterium. RNAcentral's name for it is "partial 16S ribosomal RNA". It matches the Rfam family "Bacterial small subunit ribosomal RNA", at positions 28 to 523 of the family's 1533-position model. The record is from RNAcentral.
GACGAACGCUGGCGGCGUGCUUAACACAUGCAAGUCGAGCGAUGAAGCACCUUCGGGUGUGGAUUAGCGGCGAACGGGUGAGGAACACGUGAAGAAUCUGCCUUCAACUCUGGGGUAACUCCGGGAAACCGGGGCUAAUACCGGAUAUGAGCCUUGGCCGCAUGGCCGGGGCUGGAAAGUUUUUCGGUUGAAGAUGACUUCGCGGCCUAUCAGCUUGUUGGUGAGGUAAUGGCUCACCAAGGCGACGGCGGGUAGCCGGCCUGAGAGGGCGACCGGCCACACUGGGACUGAGACACGGCCCAGACUCCUACGGGAGGCAGCAGUGGGGAAUAUUGGGCAAUGGAGGAAACUCUGACCCAGCGACGCCGCGUGAGGGAUGAAGGCCUUCGGGUUGUAAACCUCUUUCAGUAGGGAAGAAGCGAAAGUGACGGUACCUACAGAAGAAGCACCGGCUAACUAUGUGCCAGCCGCCGCGGUAA